This 1228-nucleotide long non-coding RNA is filed under the name Gallus gallus (chicken). Its description in RNAcentral is "lncRNA (ENSGALG00010009341.1)". The record is from RNAcentral. Lineage: Eukaryota; Metazoa; Chordata; Aves; Galliformes; Phasianidae.
CUCUAGCUGGAGAUCACUCCUCUUGGAGCCCUCCCAGGAGCCCAGGAUGUGGGUAUGUCUACACAAUGCAAAGUUACCAAAGUGUCUUAGACAUCAUGGAACAAGCUGAUAAUCCUACCUGGUCCUGUAUUGUGAGGGGAUCUCCAUGUAGCAUCACAUCUGAGCUAAUUAAUGCUGCCCUUCCUCCAGGCUAACCGGUGUUGAUAUGACUUUGCUGCUUAUACACCAAAUGAGAGACACGUGGCAUUAGCUUCAGUUUAUGCUUUGCCACCUUCUGUUUUCCACUACAUGCAGUAGAGUUUCAUGUAAAAUGAAAAUAUUUCACAAUUUAGAACCUAACUCUAUGUAACUGAUGAAGAGGUAUAUUUUUGGUGGACAAAAACAAGUUUAAAGCAUCAGCGAUGAUUUUACAUAUUACUAUUGUAUAUUUAUUUCUGUAUUUAUACAUACAUAAGAAACAGAAGCAUUUUCCCACACUUCUCUGGUUCUAAUUUAUUUUUAAUCUCAAUGCUGUAAUUCAUUUGGUCAGUGAAUUUAUACUAAAAUUGUAUCUCACAUUCUUCUUCCUUUAUUUUGCUUUAUUAUUCUUCCUAUUUACGGAAUUUACUUUCAGGUUAUUUGAAUCCUUCCCCAGUUAAUCCUGAUCUUUCAUUUUCUCUCACAUUGCUUCAACAAACUGUCUUAGCCAUUUUUUCUCUCUUUCUCUCUCUCUCUCUCUCUCUCUCUCUCUUUAUUCAUUUAUUUAUUACUAUUUUAGUAAUAUUAUUACCAUUUUUUUUUUUACUGCUAAUUUUAAUCUAUAUUUUGAGCCCAGGAAAGAUUUCUCCUGAGUACCAGCAAAAAUGGUAUUAUGAAUAUUCAUAGAUUGCUGUAAUCUUUGAGUUUUAAAAUAGAAAUUACUAUUGUCAUACCAAUGCUUGUUCUAUCUAUUAUAAAAUAUUCAAUUGUGCCUAUAGUUGACCUUAAAUAUCUAGGGGACUUAGCUCUACUUUUUUAAUUCUUUCGCAAGACUAAUUUAUUAAUUAUUACUUGCCAUAAAAAGACUUUGCAAUUUAGUGCUUUAAUGGCUUUUUUCUUCUUUGAGAUUUUGAGAUAGAUAAUAUCCUAGUGGGAAAAAAAUAUAUAUCUUUUUGUGAAUCAGAACCAGAAUGGCCAUUCAUUGCUUAAUUCAUGUGACAGUUUUGUUCAUCAAUUUCGAACACCAUCAAUAAAUAGAAGUAAUGUCUUU